RNAcentral lists this ribosomal RNA (490 nucleotides) under uncultured bacterium. RNAcentral's name for it is "partial 16S ribosomal RNA". It matches the Rfam family "Bacterial small subunit ribosomal RNA", at positions 30 to 507 of the family's 1533-position model. The record is from RNAcentral.
AUUGAACGCUGGCGGCAGGCCUAACACAUGCAAGUCGAACGGUAACAGGAAGCAGCUUGCUGCUUCGCUGACGAGUGGCGGACGGGUGAGUAAUGUCUGGGAAGCUGCCUGAUGGAGGGGGAUAACUACUGGAAACGGUAGCUAAUACCGCAUAAUGUCGCAAGACCAAAGAGGGGGACCUUCGGGCCUCUUGCCAUCGGAUGUGCCCAGAUGGGAUUAGCUUGUUGGUGGGGUAACGGCUCACCAAGGCGACGAUCCCUAGCUGGUCUGAGAGGGUGACCAGCCACACUGGAACUGAGACACGGUCCAGACUCCUACGGGAGGCAGCAGUGGGGAAUAUUGCACAAUGGGCGCAAGCCUGAUGCAGCCAUGCCGCGUGUAUGAAGAAGGCCUUCGGGUUGUAAAGUACUUUCAGCGGGGAGGAAGGGAGUAAAGUUAAUACCUUUGCUCAUUGACGUUACCCGCAGAAGAAGCACCGGCUAACUCCGUG